RNAcentral lists this non-coding RNA (29 nucleotides) under Mus musculus (house mouse). Lineage: Eukaryota; Metazoa; Chordata; Mammalia; Rodentia; Muridae. The record is from RNAcentral.
UCUGAGGGAUUGAUGGUACCAUAGGCAGU